RNAcentral lists this non-coding RNA (28 nucleotides) under Bombyx mori (domestic silkworm). The record is from RNAcentral. Lineage: Eukaryota; Metazoa; Arthropoda; Insecta; Lepidoptera; Bombycidae.
UUGAAGUGUCUGGAAUAUGACCGACGGC